This 1185-nucleotide ribosomal RNA is filed under the name metagenome. RNAcentral's name for it is "bacterial SSU rRNA". It matches the Rfam family "Eukaryotic small subunit ribosomal RNA", at positions 603 to 1752 of the family's 1831-position model. The record is from RNAcentral.
GUUAAAGUUGCUGCAGUUAAAACGCUCGUAGUUGUGGUUUCGUUAACUAAGCGGUCUGUGUCUCAAAAAGACGCGGGCAGUUUGGUUAAUUACAAUUGAGUGUGCGUGUUAACUCACACACACUUAGUAAACCUUGAAAAAAUAUUGACGCUUAAAAUUGGACUUACGUCCAAGUUCUUUCUGCAUGGGAUUUUGAAAUAUGAGUGGCGGAGUCAAAUCCGCUGCUAAUGACAUUUGAGGAUGAAAGAGGAAGUUAAUAUUUACAUGUCAGAGGUGAAAUUCUUGGAUUAUGUAAAGAUUAACUAAUGCGAAGGCAUUCUUCAAUUGCUUUCCUGUCAAUCAAGAACGAAAGUUAUGGGAUCGAAGACGAUCAGAUACCGUCGUAGUCAUAACAGUAAAUUUUGCCGACAAAGGAGGCGGGAAAGAAAUAGAAUGUGCAGGGCAACUUGUGCAUUUAAUAUCCUCCUGCUUUCUCCCACGAAAGUUUAAGUCUUUGGGUUCUGGGGGGAGUAUGUUCGCAAGGCCGAAACUUAAAGGAAUUGACGGAAAGGCACCACCAGGCGUGGAGCCUGCGCUUAAUUUGACCCAACACGGGAAAACUUACCAGGUCCAAACAGCGGGAGGAUUGACAGAUUGAGAGCUCUUUCAUGAUUCGUUGGGUGGUGGUGCAUGGCCGUUCUUAGUUGGUGGUGCGAGCUGUCUGGUUGAUUCCGUUAACGAACGAGACCUUUGUGAGAUAAUAGGUGGGUCAAGAUAUUGCGUCAAGGCUAGAGCUCACGUAUUAGGGAAGGAUCCGUUCCUCCUUUUACUCUGGGUUUUAGUUGCAAUCUAGACUACACCUUCUUUCUCAGACAAAUGACAAAAAGUCAUUGGAAGUUGGAGGCAAAAACAGGUCUGUGAUGCCCUUCGAUGUUCUGGGCUGCACGCGCGCUACAAUGACAGAGUCAGCAAGUUUUUCCUAGCUCGAAAGGGCCGGGUAAUCUCAGAAACUCUGUCGUAAUAAGGAUCGCUGAUUGAAACUAUUCGGCGUGAAUCAGGAAUGCCUUGUAAUUAUGAGUCAUCAGCUCAUAGUGAAUACGUCCCUGCCUUUUGUACACACCGCCCGUCGCUCCUACCAAUUGAUAUAAACGGUGAAAAGAUCGGAGACGACUUUCGUUGGGGGUAAAACCUCAUGUAAGAUGUCAA